RNAcentral lists this ribosomal RNA (59 nucleotides) under Bacillus thuringiensis. RNAcentral's name for it is "partial 23S ribosomal RNA". The record is from RNAcentral. Lineage: Bacteria; Bacillati; Bacillota; Bacilli; Caryophanales; Bacillaceae.
GUUUGGUUAAGUUAGAAAGGGCGCACGGUGGAUGCCUUGACACUAGGAGUCGAUGAAGG